Molecule: transfer RNA, 90 nt
Filed under: Candidatus Sericytochromatia bacterium
Lineage: Bacteria; Bacillati; Candidatus Sericytochromatia
Rfam family: tRNA
About the family: Transfer RNA (tRNA) molecules are approximately 80 nucleotides in length. Their secondary structure includes four short double-helical elements and three loops (D, anti-codon, and T loops). Further hydrogen bonds mediate the characteristic L-shaped molecular structure. tRNAs have two regions of fundamental functional importance: the anti-codon, which is responsible for specific mRNA codon recognition, and the 3' end, to which the tRNAs corresponding amino acid is attached (by aminoacyl-tRNA synthetases). tRNAs cope with the degeneracy of the genetic code in two manners: having more than one tRNA (with a specific anti-codon) for a particular amino acid; and 'wobble' base-pairing, i.e. permitting non-standard base-pairing at the 3rd anti-codon position.
Source: Rfam by way of RNAcentral
GGAGGGAUGGCUGAGUGGCUGAAAGCACCUCUUUGCUAAAGAGACGUACCGAUUAUAUCGGUACCGAGGGUUCGAAUCCCUCUCCCUCCG